RNAcentral lists this long non-coding RNA (1084 nucleotides) under Carassius auratus (goldfish). RNAcentral's name for it is "lncRNA (ENSCARG00000054088.1)". Lineage: Eukaryota; Metazoa; Chordata; Actinopteri; Cypriniformes; Cyprinidae. The record is from RNAcentral.
CACCAGCCAGAUUCAUCCCCAUCUCCAGUGACACGCGAGGACAGUGGAAGUGCUGCUGGAGAUGAAAGACACAAGUCUUCUGAACCACAGCAGCCAGAAUCGUCCCCAUAUACAGUGACAUCCGAGGACAGUGGAAGUGCUGCUGGAGAUGAAAGACACGAGUCUUCUGAACCUCAGCCAGAAUCUUCCCCAUAUACAGUGCCAUCCGAGGACAGUGGAAGUGCUGCUGGAGAUGAAAGAUGCAAGUCUUCUGAACCACAGCAGCCAGAAUCGUCCCCAUAUACAGUGCCAUCCGAGGACAGUGGAAGUGCUGCUGGAGAUGAAAGACGCAAGUCUUCUGAACCACAGCAGCCAGAAUCGUCCCCAUAUACAGUGCCAUCCGAGGACAGUGGAAGUGCUGCUGGGGAUGAAAGAUGUGAGUCUCCAGGCCAAUGCAACAAUCCACUACCACCUGGCAAUGCAUGUCUUUGGUGCCCUCAAAACUGCAAGCACUUUAAAAGAACUGGAUGACAUGGUUCAAAGUGCUACAGUUGUCUUCUCCAGUCCAUGCUGUGGUGCAAGUGUUGAGAAGCACUUCAAGAACCUGCAAUCGUGGCUGCAGAAAAAAGGGACUCCUUUGGAUGAGACUACCAAGUCUAGGGGGGGUGCAGAGGACUUGAAGGAUAUUACAGGAAGCAACAGAUUUGCAAAACGUUGCAAUGCAAUUAUUUCUAAUGCCCCACUUGACAAGCAUGGAGAGGUCAAUAUGUACCAAUGCAAAGGGCUUAUUGAUCACCUCAAGAAAUACGUUCUGCCAUUUGCUGGAUUAUGGACCGGGAUAAUGUUAGGUGACCUUGGACGACAUGAGACAGGACCACAAUAUAAGCAGUGCUCCAGGAGAUACAAUGCCCUGAGAAAGCUUACAAGACAAAACAUUACACAGGACAACAAAACUCUAGGAGUAAUAGAAAAGAGCCAGUGGGACUUGAAACAUAUUCGUUUUACUUCUGGCCGGCUCACCAGGCUUGAUAACUUUGUAGCCCAGUAUCGGAUUAGCCACACUGUACUCCUGAAGGAGUAUGAGGACUCUGAAAGAGUUUUCUGA